Mytilus californianus (California mussel) is the source of this 438-nucleotide long non-coding RNA. RefSeq lists it as uncharacterized. Lineage: Eukaryota; Metazoa; Mollusca; Bivalvia; Mytilida; Mytilidae. The record is from RefSeq and is a predicted model, not a curated record. The transcript has 2 exons.
ACAUAUAUAGUAAUAGUAACAGUCUGCAUCGCCGCCCUCAUUGGAUUAGUGUUCGUGUUGAAUGAAUUAUGCGGUUGUAAUGAUAAAUCAAAAAGAAGAGAACACCGGAGGAACAUAAUGAUGUCACCUAUAAAUAAUAUUGACCAACGGUAACAAAAGUGACGAAACAGGACUGACAGAGAAGAAAACGAUUGUUGAUUUAAGAUUUACAGUAAAGGAGAACGAAUUAUUUUAUAUUGUUAUGUUGUGUUGUGUUGUAUUUUUUGUUUUUCUUUAAGGGAGAGGAAUGCUGGUGAAAAAAGGCCGGCCAUAAAAAAAAUCUUGUACUUUUGUAGACUCGGAACAAAUAAGUGCUUGUCAAAUUGUAUAGACACUUGUUUAUUGUUUAUUAUUUUUAUUAAUUUUACGAUGUUGUCAUAUAAAAGUAUGCAACAAUAA